Molecule: ribosomal RNA, 423 nt
Filed under: uncultured bacterium
Lineage: Bacteria
Description: bacterial SSU rRNA
Rfam family: Bacterial small subunit ribosomal RNA
Source: RNAcentral
AAGACCUUGCACUUUUGGAGCGGCCGAUGUCUGAUUAGCUAGUUGGUGGGGUAAUGGCCUACCAAAGCUUCGAUCAGUAGCUGGUCUGAGAGGACGGCCAGCCACACUGGGACUGAGACACGGCCCAGACUCCUACGGGAGGCAGCAGUGGGGAAUUUUGGACAAUGGGGGCAACCCUGAUCCAGCCAUGCCGCGUGAGUGAAGAAGGCCUUCGGGUUGUAAAGCUCUUUCAGCCGGGAAGAAAAGGUUGCGACUAAUAAUCGCAAUCCAUGACGGUACCGAAAGAAGAAGCACCGGCUAACUACGUGCCAGCAGCCGCGGUAAUACGUAGGGUGCGAGCGUUAAUCGGAAUUACUGGGCGUAAAGGGUGCGCAGGCGGUUUUGUAAGUCAGAUGUGAAAUCCCCGGGCUUAAUCUGGGAACU